ACUCAGCACUGGGUGUAAAGCGUGCGCAGGCGGUUUUGUAAGACAGAGGUGAAAUCCCCGGGCUCAACCUGGGAACUGCCCUUGUGACUGCAAGGCUGGAGUGCGGCAGAGGGGGAUGGAAUUCCGCGUGUAGCAGUGAAAUGCGUAGAUAUGCGGAGGAACACCGAUGGCGAAGGCAAUCCCCUGGGCCUGCACUGACGCUCAUGCACGAAAGCGUGGGGAGCAAACA
This 229-nucleotide ribosomal RNA is filed under the name uncultured Alicycliphilus sp. RNAcentral's name for it is "partial 16S ribosomal RNA". It matches the Rfam family "Bacterial small subunit ribosomal RNA", at positions 553 to 774 of the family's 1533-position model. Lineage: Bacteria; Pseudomonadati; Pseudomonadota; Betaproteobacteria; Burkholderiales; Comamonadaceae. The record is from RNAcentral.